RNAcentral lists this ribosomal RNA (403 nucleotides) under Verrucomicrobiota bacterium. Its description in RNAcentral is "Verrucomicrobia bacterium partial 16S ribosomal RNA". It matches the Rfam family "Bacterial small subunit ribosomal RNA", at positions 355 to 776 of the family's 1533-position model. Lineage: Bacteria; Pseudomonadati; Verrucomicrobiota. The record is from RNAcentral.
UGGGGAAUAUUGCACAAUGGGCGCAAGCCUGAUGCAGCAACGCCGCGUGAACGAUGAAGGUCUUCGGAUCGUAAAGUUCUGUUGCAGGGGAAGAUAAUGACGGUACCCUGUGAGGAAGCCCCGGCUAACUACGUGCCAGCAGCCGCGGUAAUACGUAGGGGGCUAGCGUUAUCCGGAUUUACUGGGCGUAAAGGGUGCGUAGGUGGUCUUUCAAGUCGGUGGUUAAAGGCUACGGCUCAACCGUAGUUAGCCUCCGAAACUGGAAGACUUGAGUGCAGGAGAGGAAAGUGGAAUUCCCAGUGUAGCGGUGAAAUGCGUAGAUAUUGGGGGGAACACCAGUAGCGAAGGCGGCUUUCUGGGCUGCAACUGACACUGAGGCACGAAAGCGUGGGUAGCAAACAGG